RNAcentral lists this ribosomal RNA (492 nucleotides) under uncultured bacterium. RNAcentral's name for it is "partial 16S ribosomal RNA". It matches the Rfam family "Bacterial small subunit ribosomal RNA", at positions 29 to 507 of the family's 1533-position model. The record is from RNAcentral.
AGUGAACGCUGGCGGUAGGCCUAACACAUGCAAGUCUAACGGCAUCACAGUAAGAGCUUGCUCUUACGGGUGGCGAGUGGCGGACGGGUGAGGAAUACAUCGGAAUCUACUUUUUCGUGGGGGAUAACGUAGGGAAACUUACGCUAAUACCGCAUACGACCUACGUGUGAAAGCAGGGGAUCUUCGGACCUUGCGCGAUUGAAUGAGCCGAUGUCGGAUUAGCUAGUUGGCUGGGUAAAGGCCCACACAGGCGACGAUCGGUAGCUGGUCUGAGAGGAUGAACAGCCACACUGGAACUGAGACACGGUACAGACACCGACAGGAAGAAGCAGUGGAGAAUAUUAGGCGAUGGACGAGAGCCUGAUCCAGCCAUACCGCGGAGAGGAAGAAGGACUUAGGGUUGGAAAACCAUUUUGUUGGGAAGGAAAAGAAACAGGUUAAUAGCGCGCGGUAAUGACGGUACCCAAAGAAUAAGCACCGGCUAACUUCGUG